Non-coding RNA from Bacillus sp. OV166, 123 nucleotides. Lineage: Bacteria; Bacillati; Bacillota; Bacilli; Caryophanales; Bacillaceae. The record is from Rfam.
UAAGCCUUUAAAACAGUCCCGAGAGGCUGAGAAGGAAACGGUUAAGAUAAUGGGCAAAUUAUGCCCAUAUCUAUAAAUUAACUUGUUAUCCUCUCACCAGAAUUGGGUGAGAGGUUUUUUAUU